UAAAUGUAUAGUUCAAGGAAGAUUAGCUAUAGUUCAAAACUUAUCUAUUACUCUUUUGGUUUGAUAGAAUUAUAUGUACUCAUCCCAUGCAAACAUGCCAUGACUAGAUGGUUUAUGCAAUGCAGUAGACAGUUACUACUUUGAUGAUAACAUGUGCUUUCAUUCCAGAAUAUGUGCUUCAUUACAUAGAUGAUACACAUUGUUUCACUUGAUGAGAUGAGCACAAAUAUCCAGCACCAUCAGGAUUACCAUACAGACACAAAGAAAGCAUAUUGCCUUCAAUAUACUAAUACCUUCUUUACAGAUAGCUAAUAGUUCUUCUUUCCUCGAAGAUACAACACCACUGAAACCAACUUCUUCCUUCAUCUUCGAUUAAAUCCCCUGCAGACUUGAUUCAACUACCAUCACCACCCCAGCUCCGUUGUAUUCACCUACAGAUGCACC
Molecule: long non-coding RNA, 444 nt
Filed under: Setaria viridis
Lineage: Eukaryota; Viridiplantae; Streptophyta; Magnoliopsida; Poales; Poaceae
Description: long non-coding RNA (SVIR_LNC000354)
Source: RNAcentral